This 31-nucleotide non-coding RNA is filed under the name Mus musculus (house mouse). The record is from RNAcentral. Lineage: Eukaryota; Metazoa; Chordata; Mammalia; Rodentia; Muridae.
UAGGUGUUCUUUUNUAAAAAAUUUCCUUAUC